Molecule: ribosomal RNA, 478 nt
Filed under: uncultured bacterium
Lineage: Bacteria
Description: partial 16S ribosomal RNA
Rfam family: Bacterial small subunit ribosomal RNA
Source: RNAcentral
UGGGGAAUUUUGGACAAUGGGCGAAAGCCUGAUCCAGCAAUGCCGCGUGUGUGAAGAAGGCCUUCGGGUUGUAAAGCACUUUUGUCCGGAAAGAAAUCCUUGGCUCUAAUACAGUCGGGGGAUGACGGUACCCGGAAGAAUAAGCACCGGCUAACUACGUGCCAGCAGCCGCGGUAAUACGUAGGGUGCAAGCGUUAAUCGGAAUUACUGGGCGUAAAGCGUGCGCAGGCGGUUUGCUAAGACCGAUGUGAAAUCCCCGGGCUCAACCUGGGAACUGCAUUGGUGACUGGCAGGCUAGAGUAUGGCAGAGGGGGGUAGAAUUCCACGUGUAGCAGUGAAAUGCGUAGAGAUGUGGAGGAAUACCGAUGGCGAAGGCAGCCCCCUGGGCCAAUACUGACGCUCAUGCACGAAAGCGUGGGGAGCAAACAGGAUUAGAUACCCUGGUAGUCCACGCCCUAAACGAUGUCAACUAGUUGUU